Molecule: ribosomal RNA, 266 nt
Filed under: Proteus mirabilis
Lineage: Bacteria; Pseudomonadati; Pseudomonadota; Gammaproteobacteria; Enterobacterales; Morganellaceae
Description: partial 23S ribosomal RNA
Rfam family: Bacterial large subunit ribosomal RNA
Source: RNAcentral
GUAAUAGCUCACUGGUCGAGUCGGCCCGCGCGGAAGAUGUAACGGGGCUAAACCAUGCACCGAAGCUGCGGCAGCGAACGUAUCACUUAAAUUUGUUUGAGUGAAUAACGAUUGACGGAACGAAGUGACGUCAAUGCGUUAAUGAAAGUCGAGGUGAAAGCACGACAAAGCGAAUUUAAGGAUACGUUCGUUGGGUAGGGGAGCGUUCUGUAAGCCUGCGAAGGUGUACUGUGAGGUAUGCUGGAGGUAUCAGAAGUGCGAAUGCU